GGUAUGGAAAAACUAAGGAAAGUUAAGGUGUGGUAAGGCAAAGUUAGAUAAUGUACACCAAUAUAAAAUUAGAAGUAGGGUAAGGUAAGGUAAGGUAGGGCAAGGUAAGGUAAGGUAGGGUAAGGUAGGGUAAGGUAAGGUAAGGUAAAGCAAGGCAGGGUCAGGUCAGGUAAGGUAAGGUAUGGAAAAACUAAGGAAAGUUAAGGUGUGGUAAGGCAAAGUUAGAUAAUGUAAACCAAUAUAAAAUUAGAAGUAGGGUAAGGUAAGGUAAGGUAAGGUAAGGUAGGGUAAGGUAAGGUAAGGUAAGGUAAGGUAGGGCAAGGUAAAGUAAGGUAAGGUAGGGUAAGGUAAGGUAAGGUAAGGUAGGGCAAGGUAAGGUAAGGUAGGGUAAGGUAAGGUAAGGUAAAGCAAGGCAGGGUCAGGUCAGGUAAGGUAAGGUAUGGAAAAACUAAGGAAAGUUAAGGUGUGGCAAGGCAAAGUUAGAUAAUAAGAACAUAAGAACAUAAGAACGCAGGAGUCUGCAAGAGGCCGGUAGGCCUGUACGAGGCAGCUCCUUUGACCCUAAGCUCCCGUGUAUCUAACCCCACCUAAUAUCGCUGUCCAUGAAUUUAUCUAGUCUAUUUUUGAAUGUGACAAUUGUAUUGGCACUCACCACAUGACUGCUAAGCCUAUUCCACUUAUCCACCACCCUGUUAGUAAACCAAUUUUUGCCUAUGUCCCUGUUGAAUCUGAAUUUAUCCAGUUUAAACUCGUUACUUCGUGUCCUACCCAGUUCUCUUACCAACAAAACCUUAUGAAUGUCUCCCUUAUUAAAGCCCUUCAUCCAUUUAUAAACCUCGAUCAUGUCUCCACGCACCCUUCGCCUUUCUAGAGAAUGCAAGUUUAACUGUUUGAGUCUUUCCUCGUAUGCCAAGUUUCUCAACCCCUGAAUCAUCUUAGUCAUCCUCCUCUGCACUGAUUCUAACAUUUUGAUAUCCAUUCUAUAGUAGGGUGACCAGAACUGAACCGCAUAGUCAAGAUGAGGUCUAACUAAUGCUAAAUAUAGUUUGAGGAAGACUUCGGGGCUUCUGUUGCUUACGCUCCUUGAAAUAAAUCCCAGUACCCUAUUAGCUCGAUUUCUAGCUUGAAUGCAUUGUGCCCUUGGACGGAGAUCAGAGCUCACUAAGACCCCUAAAUCCCUCUCGCACCCAGACCUACUUAUGAGAGUGUCAUUUAAGCAAUAGUUGUGUGAGGGGUUGUUCCUACCUACACUCAGAAUACUGCACUUCCCUACAUUGAACUCCAUCUGCCAUUUAUCCGCCCAGUCAUAUAAUCUGUUAAGUUCACCUUGGAGAAUACUAGCGUCCUGAUCCGACUCAAUUACUCUACCGAUCUUGGUAUCAUCUGCAAAUUUACUAACAUCACUACUAAUUCCUGUAAUGUAAAUCAAUAUAAAAUUAGAAGUAGGGUAAGGUAGGGCAAGGUAAGGUAAGGUAAGGUAGGGUAUGGUAAGGUAAGGUAAGGUAAGGUAAGGUAAGGUAAGGUAAUUUAUGGUUGGGCCAAAGAAGGAGAUCAGUCAGGUAUUUAGGAGUGGUAUUUUUAGUCCAUGGUUGAGGAGAAGGGUUAAACUGCCACCAGGAAUAACCCCACUUUGUUGUGUAGAAAGUCUCAUUAGUAAGGAAGCAUAGAUGAGUUUUCUGAGUCAAGAUGCGUAGCGAUUGGGUUUUGUUAAAUUAUGUUAGGUUAAAUUCAGGGUAUCUUCAAACACAUGAUAGCCAGCACCUUAUGGUAUAAAUCAACAAAGAAUGAUCCCACUUUGUUUUAUAGAAAGUCUCAUUAGUAAGGAAGCAUAGAUGAGUUUUCUGAGUCAAGACCUAUAUAGUGACUGGGUUUUGUUAAGUUAGGUUAAAUUCAGGAUAUCUUUCAACACAUGAUGGCCAGCACCCUAUGGUAUAAAUCAACAAGGAAUGACCUCACUUUGUUGUAUAGAAAGUUGGUCUCUCUCUCUCUCUCUCUCUCUCUCUUAUUCCCUUUCUUUUUUCCUAUUAAUUUUUCUUCCAUUUUUCCGUCAUUAUUUUACUUUUAUUUUUAUUCUCUUAAUCGUUCCUCUCUUCCA
This is a long non-coding RNA of Eriocheir sinensis (Chinese mitten crab), 2095 nucleotides long. RefSeq lists it as uncharacterized. The record is from RefSeq and is a predicted model, not a curated record. NCBI's taxonomy places the organism in Eukaryota, Metazoa, Arthropoda, Malacostraca, Decapoda, Varunidae. The transcript has 5 exons.